CCCCUAGAUGUUCUGGGCCGCACGCGCGCUACACUGAACAGUUCAACAAGUCUUAACCUUGGCCGAUAGGUCUGGGUAAUCUUUGAACGCUGUUCGUGAUUGGGAUAGACCUUUGCAAUUAUGGGUCUUCAACGAGGAAUUCCUAGUAAACGCAAGUCAUCAGCUUGCAUUGAUUACGUCCCUGCCCUUUGUACACACCGCCCGUCGCACCUACCGAUUGGAUGGUCCGGUGAAGCCUCGGGAUUGUGACUUGUGCCUUUAUUGGUGUUGGUCGCGAGAACUUGUCUAAACCUUAUCAUCUAGAGGAAGGUGAAGUCGUAACA
This 323-nucleotide ribosomal RNA is filed under the name uncultured eukaryote. RNAcentral's name for it is "partial 18S ribosomal RNA". It matches the Rfam family "Eukaryotic small subunit ribosomal RNA", at positions 1470 to 1796 of the family's 1831-position model. The record is from RNAcentral.